RNAcentral lists this long non-coding RNA (2150 nucleotides) under Daucus carota (carrot). RNAcentral describes it as "long non-coding RNA (DCAR_LNC004795)". Lineage: Eukaryota; Viridiplantae; Streptophyta; Magnoliopsida; Apiales; Apiaceae. The record is from RNAcentral.
AUAAAGCUGAAGAUAUAGAUGAAGUGGUCCCUGGGACUCCGACAGAAAAAUAUGACACGGGUUUUCUGGGUCCUCUGGAUUCAGCACACAAAACAAAUGGGAGCAUACUUCCCUCUGGAAAACCUGCAGAUCUGGUGACACCUUUUGGGCAACGAAAGAACAAAUUUGUCGUCCAAUCCACCAUCAGUGACCUGCCCAAUACAGAUUCUAUAAAGGAAGAACCGCAUGACAAUAAUUCUGAGGAUGACAUCAUAAAAAGAGUGCAACCCAGGAAACGGUGUUCGUUGCAAACUCAUCAUUCCAAGCCUGAAACAAGUUGUCGAUUUAUGUAUGAUAGAAUUGAAGAUAAGGUAUUUUCAUUAAUUGACUAAAUGAGCGUCAAACUUCUCAUGUGUACAAUACUAACUUCAUUUCUGGUUAUUCAGUUUAAUUUUCUUGAAAAUAGAAUCAUGAAGCAUGCAAAGGCUUUUGCUGCUUCUGGAAUCUACGAGGAACCAGUUGACCCAACUGUUGCUUCACAGGUAAUAUAUCCAUGUAUUUGGUACUUUUUGUAAUCACUGCCAGUACAUCAGGCAUCUUAAGUUUAUGCUUUAAGGUCAUAUUACUACAACUUAUCCAUUUUCUUCAUAUUUGAGAAUACUUUUGUCAGGUUCUAAUAUGCAGCAGUCUUAUCAUAUUGUAUAUUACUAAAAUCAACUAGGAACACUCUGACUAAAGUUCCAUUUGAGAGCUUUAUAUUCUUUUUCCUAUCUUUCAGAAAAGUUUGUUUGCUAUUGGUAUGGUAUGUUGUGAGGAAGAAGGUCGUCUAAAAGAGAAGCCCCUAUUGCUACAAAGCAGGUACAGAACUUACAUGCUAAGAUUAGUGACUUCAAUCCCUGGAAUGUAAUAUCCCCAACCUCUUUUAUUAUUUCUGGACUGAGCUCAGGGAUAAAAGGAACAUUUUAAGGAUCAAAACACCAUGUUUAACAGUUUUGACAUUCGAAGAUAACCCUCUCUCCCCCUCCCUCUCUCUCCCUCCCUCCCUCCCUCCCUCUCUCUCUACCCCUCCCACCUUCACACUCUCUCUCUCUCUCUCUCUCUCUCUCUCUGUCUCUCUCCCUCUCUGUCUCUGUCUCUCUCCCCCUGUGUGUAUGACUGAUACGGGGUUUCAGGGUUUUCGUAAAUUUCACCUGAUUAGAAUGAAAUGGGACAUUUUUGGCAGAAAGGAGAAAGAAUUAGGGAAGCAUAAUGGUUUUUUGAAUGUGUUAUAUAGGGUGUUGGUCUUAGAAAUACUGGAAGAAGGGGUGGAAUGAAUUGCGCCAAAUUAUUUCUUCUUUUUUUUGUUUUAGAUGCUUUGCAGAAACUGAUAAGAAAUUUGAUCUCAAUUUUUUGACAGGCAGCUGGAACUGACUGUGCAAAAUGCACAUAUGGAUGCAUUUUUGCAGCAACUGCAAAAUGAACAGAAAGAGGCUAUCAUCAAGAAGGAGCCUGGAUUGCAUUUGUACUCUAAUGAUGUCAAGAUGUGAGUAUAACAUACAGAUUUUGAUGUGUGUAUCAAUGUGUGUUCUGCUCAUCUGCUUUAAUUUACUUUAUGGUUUUUGCAAGUGAGAAGCUGAAACAGAGAACCCUUAGUUCCACUUUGUCUCAAAUGUUCAAAUUACCAUGUUUUUCCCUAAUACAUGGAACAACAUGUCUGCGAUGAUAGGUGUGCCACGAAGAUAAUUUUUAUAAAUUUGUUUAUAGUUAGACUUGUUAUUCCGCAAUUAAUUGUAUGUUACAAAUUACACGAACAGUUUGAAUACUGAAAUUAUAUUCUAUUUAGGAUAUUGAGUGAUAAAGCUGAAGAUAUAGAUGAAGUGGUCCCUGGGACUCCGACAGAAAAAUAUGACACGGGUUUUCUGGGUCCUCUGGAUUCAGCACACAAAACAAAUGGGAGCAUACUUCCCUCUGGAAAACCUGCAGAUCUGGUGACACCUUUUGGGCAACGAAAGAACAAAUUUGUCGUCCAAUCCACCAUCAGUGACCUGCCCAAUACAGAUUCUAUAAAGGAAGAACCGCAUGACAAUAAUUCUGAGGAUGACAUCAUAAAAAGAGUGCAACCCAGGAAACGGUGUUCGUUGCAAACUCAUCAUUCCAAGCCUGAAACAAGUUGUCGAUUUAUGUAUGAUAGA